CGGUUUUGUGCUAGGUCAUGGACAGACAGCCUCCUUCUGAGUAGUGAGUAGACGGGCUUGUGGGCCCUGAGAGUGUCUCCCCGUGGUGAGGAGUAAAACCCAUUUGUUACUGGUCCCCUCACUCGCACGCCUAGACCCCUUCGGGGGGAACGUAACAGAUGGAUAUGUGGAGAACAGGUCAUUUAUUCUCUGCACCUUUGCUUCUCUGGUAUCAUCUAAAGAAGAUGUUUUUAAAAAAAAAAAAAAAAAUUAAAUUACCCUCCCUCCCCGCCCAAAAACCCAGCUGUUGUGAUUUAUAAUUUUAGAAUAUUUUUUUAUCAUUAAAUGUACUGCACAUUUGUGACUGUGAUAGGAGAAAUUACCAUUUAUCGUUAGUUUAUUAUUCGUUACUGAUUUCUGAGGCACUCGAAUUAUACAAGUAACACUUGCUUUUUUUUUUUUGUAAGGCAAUGAGUUUGCUUUUUUUAAACAAUUAAUGUAUUUUUGUGUGACGGAGGAAAGCAAAAAGAUUAUUUCAGUUUUAUGGAGCUCUCAAAUUUCUCUGCUAAACUGAGCGAGGCAUUGGCUUCCUUUCUGUCUGCACUUUUUGACAGAUGCUGACAGGUCCCAUUGGCCUCUUUAACAGGGCUGACUGCUGACAGGAACAUGGUGGAAAUGAAACAAAAUGUUCCCUAUAGCUUCCCAAGUGACUUCUAUCCUGCACGUACCCCUACAUGCCCAGAGAGAUGCGUGUCCCUAUCAGAAACUCUCCUCAUGACUGACUGAUGUCAUCUGUCAGAAAGACGGUGAUGAUGAUUUUUAGAUGUGAAUUAUUUUGUUACCUCAACUGUCUUCUGAUGUUUGCUUUUUUGCUACAAUCUGAUAGAAGACCAUCUGCCAGUGACAAAUGAUUUUAUAAUUAUGACUUUGUUAUCACUUUAUCUUGACAAUA
Long non-coding RNA from Oreochromis aureus, 931 nucleotides. RefSeq lists it as uncharacterized. The transcript has 3 exons. The record is from RefSeq and is a predicted model, not a curated record. Lineage: Eukaryota; Metazoa; Chordata; Actinopteri; Cichliformes; Cichlidae.